Molecule: ribosomal RNA, 506 nt
Filed under: uncultured bacterium
Lineage: Bacteria
Description: partial 16S ribosomal RNA
Rfam family: Bacterial small subunit ribosomal RNA
Source: RNAcentral
AGUGAACGCUGGCGGUAGGCCUAACACAUGCAAGUCGAACGGCAGCACAGGAGAGCUCGCUCUCUGGGUGGCGAGUGGCGGACGGGUGAGGAAUACAUCGGAAUCUACUCUGUCGUGGGGGAUAACGUAGGGAAACUUACGCUAAUACCGCAUACGACCUACGGGUGAAAGCAGGGGACCUUCGGGCCUUGCGCGAUUGAAUGAGCCGAUGUCGGAUUAGCUAGUUGGCGGGGUAAAGGCCCACCAAGGCGACGAUCCGUAGCUGGUCUGAGAGGAUGAUCAGCCACACUGGAAGUGAGACACGGUCCAGACUCCUACGGGAGGCAGCAGUGGGGAAUAUUGGACAAUGGGCGCAAGCCUGAUCCAGCCAUACCGCGUGGGUGAAGAAGGCCUUCGGGUUGUAAAGCCCUUUUGUUGGGAAAGAAAUCCAGCUGGCUAAUACCCGGUUGGGAUGACGGUACCCAAAGAAUAAGCACCGGCUAACUUCGUGCCAGCAGCCGCCGUAA